Molecule: long non-coding RNA, 211 nt
Organism: Octopus sinensis (East Asian common octopus)
Lineage: Eukaryota; Metazoa; Mollusca; Cephalopoda; Octopoda; Octopodidae
Exons: 4
Source: RefSeq, a predicted model, not a curated record
AAGGGGUUUUUUCUUAAUUUAAAAAAAAAAAAAAACUUACUCUAGAAAUGUAUUGUUAGAGGGGAGAAUAAUUUGGUUAGGGAAUAUAUUAGGAUCACUAUUGAUUUUAAAAGGAGAUACAGGGCCCACAUGAACUCACUUUCAAAUGCCAAAUAUUCCAAUUCUAUCACAUUGGUAUCCUAUAUUCAUGAUUUGAAGAAGAGGAAUAUGA